Molecule: ribosomal RNA, 301 nt
Filed under: uncultured bacterium
Lineage: Bacteria
Description: partial 16S ribosomal RNA
Rfam family: Bacterial small subunit ribosomal RNA
Source: RNAcentral
CAGCAGCCACGGUAACACGUAGGUGGCAAGCGUUGUCCCGAAUUAUUGGGCGUAAAGGGCCCGCAGGCGGUUUCUUAAGUCUGAUGUGAAAGCCCCCGGCUCAACCGGGGAGGGUCAUUGGAAACUGGGAAACUUGAGUGCAGAAGAGGAGAGUGGAAUUCCACGUGUAGCGGUGAAAUGCGUAGAGAUGUGGAGGAACACCAGUGGCGAAGGCGACUCUCUGGUCUGUAACUGACGCUGAGGAGCGAAAGCGUGGGGAGCGAACAGGAUUAGAUACCCCAGUAGUCCCUGUCUCUUAUAC